AACGAACGCUGGCGGCAUGCCUAAUACAUGCAAGUCGAACGAAGGCUUCGGCCUUAGUGGCGCACGGGUGCGUAACGCGUGGGAAUCUACCCUUGGGUUCGGAAUAACAGUUAGAAAUGACUGCUAAUACCGGAUGAUGACGUAAGUCCAAAGAUUUAUCGCCCAAGGAUGAGCCCGCGUAAGAUUAGCUAGUUGGUGAGGUAAAGGCUCACCAAGGCUACGAUCUUUAGUUGGUCUGAGAGGAUGAUCAGCCACACUGGGACUGAGACACGGCCCAGACUCCUACGGGAGGCAGCAGUAGGGAAUAUUGGACAAUGGGCGAAAGCCUGAUCCAGCAAUGCCGCGUGAGUGAUGAAGGCCUUAGGGUUGUAAAGCUCUUUUACCCGAGAUGAUAAUGACAGUAUCGGGAGAAUAAGCUCCGGCUAACUCCGUG
This 433-nucleotide ribosomal RNA is filed under the name uncultured bacterium. RNAcentral describes it as "bacterial SSU rRNA". It matches the Rfam family "Bacterial small subunit ribosomal RNA", at positions 29 to 507 of the family's 1533-position model. The record is from RNAcentral.